This 433-nucleotide ribosomal RNA is filed under the name uncultured Anaeroplasma sp. RNAcentral's name for it is "bacterial SSU rRNA". It matches the Rfam family "Bacterial small subunit ribosomal RNA", at positions 341 to 792 of the family's 1533-position model. Lineage: Bacteria; Bacillati; Mycoplasmatota; Mollicutes; Anaeroplasmatales; Anaeroplasmataceae. The record is from RNAcentral.
ACGGGAGGCAGCAGUAGGGAAUUUUCGGCAAUGGGGGAAACCCUGACCGAGCAAUGCCGCGUGAACGAUGAAGUAUUUCGGUAUGUAAAGUUCUUUUUUAUGGGAAGAUGAUGACGGUACCAUAAGAAUAAGCUCCGGCUAACUACGUGCCAGCAGCCGCGGUAAUACGUAGGGAGCGAGCGUUAUCCGGAAUUAUUGGGCGUAAAGGGUGCGUAGAUGGCAACAAAAGUCUUAUGUAAAAAUGCUGGGCUCAACCCAGUAGAGCAAUAGAUACUUUGUAGCUAGAGUAUGGAAGAGGCAAGUGGAACUCCAUGUGUAGCGGUAAAAUGCGUAAAUAUAUGGAAGAACACCAGUGGCGAAGGCGGCUUGCUAGUCCGAUACUGACAUUGAGGCACGAAAGCGUGGGGAGCAAACAGGAUUAGAUACCCUGGUA